Molecule: transfer RNA, 73 nt
Filed under: Planctomycetota bacterium
Lineage: Bacteria; Pseudomonadati; Planctomycetota
Description: tRNA-Lys
Rfam family: tRNA
About the family: Transfer RNA (tRNA) molecules are approximately 80 nucleotides in length. Their secondary structure includes four short double-helical elements and three loops (D, anti-codon, and T loops).
Source: RNAcentral
GGGGGCAUAGCUCAGCUGGUAGAGCAGCGCCCUUUUAAGGCGAAGGUCGGAGGUUCGAAUCCUCCUGCCCUCA